RNAcentral lists this ribosomal RNA (488 nucleotides) under uncultured bacterium. RNAcentral's name for it is "bacterial SSU rRNA". It matches the Rfam family "Bacterial small subunit ribosomal RNA", at positions 29 to 510 of the family's 1533-position model. The record is from RNAcentral.
AAUGAACGCUGGCGGCGCGCCUAAUACAUGCAAGUCGAGCGAGAAGACGUAGCAAUACGUUUGUAAAGCGGCGAACGGGUGAGGAAUACAUGGGGUAACCUACCCUCGAGUGGGGAAUAACUAGCCGAAAGGUUAGCUAAUACCGCGUACGCUUCUUGGACUUCGGUUCAGGGAGGAAAGCGAUACCGUGGGUAUCGCGCUCUUGGAUGGGCUCAUGUCCUAUCAGCUUGUUGGUGAGGUAACGGCUCACCAAGGCUUCGACGGGUAGCUGGUCUGAGAGGACGAUCAGCCACACUGGCACUGCGACACGGGCCAGACUCCUACGGGAGGCAGCAGUAAGGAAUAUUGCGCAAUGGGCGAAAGCCUGACGCAGCGACGCCGCGUGGGGGAUGAAGGUCUUCGGAUUGUAAACCCCUUUCGGGAGGGAAGAUGGAACGAGCAAUCGUUCGACGGUACCUCCAGAAGCAGCCACGGCUAACUUCGUGCCA